This is a long non-coding RNA of Magnolia sinica, 3588 nucleotides long. RefSeq lists it as uncharacterized. Lineage: Eukaryota; Viridiplantae; Streptophyta; Magnoliopsida; Magnoliales; Magnoliaceae. The transcript has 9 exons. The record is from RefSeq and is a predicted model, not a curated record.
UCCCCCCUCUCUCUCUCUCUAUUCCCACCGUCAGCGCCCUCGCCGUCUCCCUCUCCCUCUCUUGAGGUCCCUCGCCCUCGCCGUCUCCCUCUCCCUCUAUCGAGCUCCCGCGAAUGUUAGAUGGCCUAAAAACUCUGACAGCUUCUCAGUGCACUCUCUCAAAUCAGCUAUUCUUUCUUCUUCAUCUUUUGCCCAUAACAGACGCGAGAGUCUCACUUACUCCAUAGAAACGCUUCAGUCUCCUUCCUUUCCAUCUAUGUUGUUCAAAAUCCAAAUGGGUUUUCAGGAAAUGAAGUUCUAGCAAUGAUUUCCUGGCUUUCCUAACAUUCAAAAGUGCUUUCUUUAAGGGAUUUUUGGAGAAGGCAUAGAAGGAAGGCUUUUGUUGUUACGGGAGCUUUGGGAAGUGGGUAUUUUUUGUAUAGGAUUUAUGCUUCUCAUACACAGAGGAUUUCUGAUUUAGAGACUCAAAUCGACAGCCAGCAUGAAAUCGAUGAGCUCAUUAAGGCCCAGUCAUUAAUGAAGCUCUCAUAUGUGGGAACAUAGUCAAGUUUGUGCACUGAAAGGCCCUCAAGGAUGUCAGAUUUAAAGGUACACCAUCCACCUAUGGUGGACCUUUUUUUGUAUAUAUGUUUAUAGAAUCAUGCAUGUAAGAGCACAUUUAUUAUAAUGUUCCCACAAUCUGUAUUAAGAAACUCAAUUUCUGUGGUCCAGAUUAUUCAAUUCCAUAUGGAUGGAACGUCCUCCUAGUUUUCAGUGUUGUACAUCUAGACAUAUCUCUUCAUGGAAGUGUCCUUGAGUUCCAUCCUUGGAGAUGGGAGGUAAUUACUAUUACUUUAAUGAUGAUGAUGGUUAAUUUAGUUUGUGGGGUCCACUAUUUCACUCUCUUGAUUGAUGAUGGUUAUCUUGGUUUGUGAGUCCCACAAGCAUCUAGUAUUGUAUACACAAAUGUAUAGGUCUAUAACUAAAAAUUAGAAAGGAUGGGUAGAUUUACUCCAAGGAACUUUGGUUGAUUUAUUUAAUGAGAGAUGCUCACAUCCAGCUCGUUGGACCAAAAGUUACCAUUCACAUCCAGCUUAUUGAUCCUGCUCUAUUUGCCCCAUCAAAAUUUGAUGAAUUUGUUGGGGCCUUAGCCAAGUUUUGAGUCGUUCUGCUUGCAUAUCUCCAUUUUAUUCUAUUUUUUCAGCUUCUAAUGAACUUUGGCAUAUCUGAUGUUGGAGACGUACCAAAUGCAAAAGCAUUAGACUCUUUAUUUCAUUCUGGUUACAUUCAGUUGAUUAAAAAAAAGUUUGCUACUGUUUCUAAGACGAUUCAGAAUCUAAGAAGUGAAGCCACAAAGUCAGAUGAUAUAUUUUUGCAUGUCCAAGAAAUUCAAGAAUCCGUCAGAAUUUUAUUUUUAAAUUAUUGCCCGGAUUUUGAGAAAGUUCUGCACUUUUAGAGUUUCAGGAAGUGUUUAUAUGAUUUUGCCGACUCUUGUUCUUUACAGUAUCUUUUCUAAUUUGUCCAUGCUAUCAGCAAGGAUUUCUUUGGUAUUUACUUUAAGAUGAUGGUCUGUUAGGUGUUCAGAUGCAUGAUACCCCUCUGUCUAUUAAGGAUUCUAUGUUGCCAUUCCUUUUUGUAGAAAAAAGUCUAUAAUUAUAGGAUUAUGUUCUAUGUUAUGAGUACAUGUUUCCUCUUUUUUUUGUCCUUUAAAUUAUAGAGCACCUUCUUUCUCUGUUGUCUCUGUUCAUUUGUUUAGUUAGUUUUCCUUGUGGAAUCACAACUUUCUUUUUCUUUUUAUUUUUUCUCUGUGGAACCACAACUUUCUUCGGCCAUUGAAGAAAGAGAGAGACUAAGAAAGGAUGCUAUUGCAUGGAAGAAGCAGAAGAGUGGGGAAGCAGAGGGUGGAAAGGCACAUGAUUCCCUUAUCAAGUGCAGGUAAUUUGGUUCUACGUGCAAUCUGUUUCUGGAAAUGGCACAACUGCUCAGAUGCCGACUCGGUUGAGUGCAACCCAUCUACCCUUAAAAGUGGGAGCACCCAAAUGUGGAAUUUAGGUUGCAGCUGCUUGUUUAGAAGAAUUGUUGAUUUUAGCAGCUGCUUGUUUAGAUGUACAUGGGGAUGACAGUGUGAUGUAUCCGUAAUGGAAGUUUGUUAUAAGGGUGAGCAUGCAUAUGUUCCUAUAACUCAAGAAAGGUUACUGGCAGGCAUUAUCUAUGAGGAUUCAACCUGGAUUGGAACAAAAGAUUGUUAUUCUGCGAGAUUCGUAUCUUGAGGGUUAUUUUGAUAAUGUUUCAGAGCAUCUCUGAGUAGGACCACCAGUAUAUUUUGUUGUGAAGAACUUCAACUAUAGGUGAUCAAUUGGCAAUUGCUAAGGAAACUGAGCAUCGGUUGGGAAUGGGUACAAACUUGUACCCAUCUUCAUCUCUUCUGGGGGACAGCAAGGAUGAAUUAGUUUCGGCUCUACCUGUGGAUGAACUAAUUGAGAAAGCUGAUGGUUUUACUAGGGUGUUUCCUGCACAAGUAUGAGAUUGUGAAGAAACUCCAAGCUAGAAAGCACAUCUGUGGAAUGACAGGUGAUGGGGUCAAUGAUGCACCUGCAUUAAAGAAGGCAAACAUAGGAAUUGCAAUGGCAGAUGCAAUAAAUGUUGCUCGAAGUGCUUCUAACAUAGUUCUAACAGAGCCUGGACUGAGUGUAAUCAUUAGUGCCGUUUUAACAAGCCGUGCAAUUUUUUAGAAAAUGAAGAACUAUACAGUAGUCUCAUGCUUUCGUUUGCUAUAUUAUAGAUAGGGACUGUGCAUGUGCUGCUGACCUGUUCCACUUUUGAUAUUUACUUACCAUGACAUGGAUCUGUUUCCAGGUACCAUCAUGACAAUCUCCAAGGACAGAGUCAAGCCUUCUCAACUGGAAACUCAGUGAAAUUUUAGCAACUGGAAUAGUCAUUGGAAUGUAUCUUUGACGAGACUAUUUUUUUUUUUUUUGCGGUAAAUACUUCUUUGUUCCUCAAUGCUGUAAAUAGUACUUCACAAUUCAUGACUUCUUUAAUACUUCCCACAAAUGCAAUGGAAACUUUCAUUUAUCUUUUUAUUUUAAGGCAACAGAAACUUUCAUAGUAGGAAAAAAGAAAAAAAGAAAGAAAAAAGGCAGUCAGAAGGGAGAAUACAAGCCCCAUAAAAAAAAGAUAAUGUCUAAACACCGUAGAGCCAUAACCUAUAUAUAUGUAUGUAUAAUCUAUAUGAGAAACAUUUUGGCCUGAUUUCUCUCCUCCUUUUCUUACUCAUGUCUUUCUCUCUGACUAUGUAAUGUUUCUGCAAGUAUGUUCCAAUUUUGUUAGUUAUAUAUGUAAUAGCUUAUUGAGGACAUGCAGAAAACAAAGGAAGAGAUGGAAAAACUGAAAGGGGAGGCACAAGCCAACAAGGAUCACAUGCUACAGGUGGUUUGGAUUUUUUACUUGAAUUUAUUAUCUGAUACUCUUAAGGAUUUAAAUAUUUUAUGAUAUUUUUUUUUUACAGCAUAAAGAAAUAGCAUAAGUGAAUGAAGUUGCAUUGAAGCAAAUUGAAUCUGCUCAUGAAAAAUUCAAGGCUGAGGUACAUCCCUGUAUAUUUAACCUCAU